This 27-nucleotide non-coding RNA is filed under the name Mus musculus (house mouse). The record is from RNAcentral. Lineage: Eukaryota; Metazoa; Chordata; Mammalia; Rodentia; Muridae.
UAUGCUUUGUUACAUAUUUUUCUAAAU